RNAcentral lists this ribosomal RNA (531 nucleotides) under Triticum aestivum (bread wheat). RNAcentral describes it as "partial small subunit ribosomal RNA". Lineage: Eukaryota; Viridiplantae; Streptophyta; Magnoliopsida; Poales; Poaceae. The record is from RNAcentral.
AUGGCACGCUACAUGCUCAAGGCAAAGCAGGUGCCGAGCACGUAUUGGGGGAAGGCCGUGCUGACGGCCGUCUUCAUCCUCAACCGCUCCUUCACAAGGAGCGUCGAAGGCAAGACGCCUUAUGAGGCGUGGUAUGGGAGGAAGCCCGACGUACGCUUCCUCCGCACCUUUGGCUGCGUUGGGCACGUCAAGACGACGCGCCCACAGCUGAAGAAGCUCGACGACAGGAGCACCCCAAUGGUGUUCAUGGGCUACAAGAUGGGCUCUAAGGCGUACAAGAUGUACGACCCCGUCUCAAAGCGUGUGCAUGUCUCUCGCGACGUCAUCUUCGACGAAGACGCGCGAUGGACUUGGGAGGCGUCGGGGGAGGCCCCGGCAAGCAGCUCCUUCACCGUGGAGUACCCGAUGUACUCUACGACCCCGGGAAGCAAGACCCGGGAAGUGCCACCCCGGGAAGCUCGGGAGGUGUGGAUUCGGGAACAGCAACCCCGAGAACACCGUCCCCGAGUACGGUGUCGCCGGACACCAUAA